This 233-nucleotide ribosomal RNA is filed under the name uncultured bacterium. Its description in RNAcentral is "partial 16S ribosomal RNA". It matches the Rfam family "Bacterial small subunit ribosomal RNA", at positions 100 to 334 of the family's 1533-position model. The record is from RNAcentral.
CGGGACGGGUGAGUAAUGUCUGGGAAACUGCCUGAUGGAGGGGGAUAACUACUGGAAACGGUAGCUAAUACCGCAUAACGUCGCAAGACCAAAGAGGGGGACCUUCGGGCCUCUUGCCAUCGGAUGUGCCCAGAUGAGAUUAGCUAGUAGGUGGGGUAAAGGCUCACCUAGGCGACGAUCCCUAGCUGGUCUGAGAGGAUGACCAGCCACACUGGAACUGAGACACGGUCCAG